CGCGCCAAAAUGAGAUCUACGCCGGGCGGCGCCCUGUCAUGUGAUCUGGGUUCACUCCUCCAUGGGUGCCGCCAUGUUUAGUGCUGGCAACUGAAGGACAGAUAAUUAGCCCUUGACUUGUGCCCCACCCUUUAGAAUCGUGGCCUCGGUCCUUGACGCUAAAUCCAGCGCUCCCGGAGUUAGCAUUGCUCGCCGGCGUGGGGGCCCUCCACCCUGGAGGCUUUGAAAGGACUCCCAGGAGGCUUGGAGGCUUCCAGUGACUAUUCUUGUCUGUUCUUGAAUUUAACAGAAGUAGAAUCCUGCAAUAGGAUAGCCCUGCACCUCUGAGCUCAAGCRAUCCUUCUGCCUCAGCCUCCCCAGUAUCUGGGAACAUUAGGCGAGUUACCACCACAUCUCUUUUGGCCGGUGUUAAUGAAGUUUGUACAAGUACCUUUGUGAACAGRUUUUUCCGGAGUCAAAUUCCUAGGAGUAGAAAGGAUCUCAUUAAGUUGCUUAGAGCCUUCCUAAAUUGCUAA
This 515-nucleotide long non-coding RNA is filed under the name Urocitellus parryii (Arctic ground squirrel). RNAcentral describes it as "lncRNA (ENSUPAG00010012104.1)". Lineage: Eukaryota; Metazoa; Chordata; Mammalia; Rodentia; Sciuridae. The record is from RNAcentral.